Molecule: ribosomal RNA, 354 nt
Filed under: Russula sp.
Lineage: Eukaryota; Fungi; Basidiomycota; Agaricomycetes; Russulales; Russulaceae
Description: LSU rRNA
Rfam family: Bacterial large subunit ribosomal RNA
Source: RNAcentral
UUUAGCCAUAGUUUAAAUGAUUAUAUGGUAUAAUAAAAUCGGAGGCCACGACUGUUUACUAAAAACACAAUUCAGAGCAAUGAUUAAGAUAAUAGUAUUCUGGAUGAAAUUUGCUCAAUGCCAUUAAUAUAAGAGAGGUAAUUUUAAAGUUACUAAUCGAAAAUCUGGUUAAUAGCGGUCUUAACUAUGAGGAUCCUAAGGUAGCAAAAUAAAUUGGCCAUUAAAUGUGGUCUUGUAUCAAUAAUGUAACGAUGGUCUCACUGUCUCUACAACUUGCUCAGUGAAAUUGAAUUGCGAGUGCAGAUGCUCGCUGUCUUCAGAGGGACGGGAAGACCCUAUGCACCUUUCUACUGA